Molecule: ribosomal RNA, 301 nt
Filed under: uncultured bacterium
Lineage: Bacteria
Description: partial 16S ribosomal RNA
Rfam family: Bacterial small subunit ribosomal RNA
Source: RNAcentral
CAGUAGCCGCGGUAAUACGUAGGUGGCGAGCGUUGUCCGGAUUUAUUGGGCGUAAAGCGAGCGCAGGCGGUUAGAUAAGUCUGAAGUUAAAGGCUGUGGCUUAACCAUAGUACGCUUUGGAAACUGUUUAACUUGAGUGCAAGAGGGGAGAGUGGAAUUCCAUGUGUAGCGGUGAAAUGCGUAGAUAUAUGGAGGAACACCGGUGGCGAAAGCGGCUCUCUGGCUUGUAACUGACGCUGAGGCUCGAAAGCGUGGGGAGCAAACAGGAUUAGAUACCCCGGUAGUCCCUGUCUCUUAUACA